UAAGGAAUAUUGGUCAAUGGACGCAAGUCUGAACCAGCCAUGCCGCGUGAAGGAUGAAGGUCCUCUGGAUUGUAAACUUCUUUUAUCUGGGACGAAACACUCUUAUUCUUAAGAGCUUGACGGUACCAGAGGAAUAAGCACCGGCUAACUCCGUGCCAGCAGCCGCGGUAAUACGGAGGGUGCAAGCGUUAUCCGGAUUCACUGGGUUUAAAGGGUGCGUAGGUGGGUCUGUAAGUCAGUGGUGAAAUCUUCGAGCUUAACUCGGAAACUGCCAUUGAUACUAUAGGUCUUGAAUUUUCUGGAGGUAAGCGGAAUAUGUCAUGUAGCGGUGAAAUGCUUAGAUAUGACAUAGAACACCAAUUGCGAAGGCAGCUUACUACGGGAACAUUGACACUGAGGCACGAAAGCGUGGGGAUCAAACAG
RNAcentral lists this ribosomal RNA (423 nucleotides) under uncultured bacterium. RNAcentral describes it as "bacterial SSU rRNA". It matches the Rfam family "Bacterial small subunit ribosomal RNA", at positions 355 to 775 of the family's 1533-position model. The record is from RNAcentral.